Molecule: non-coding RNA, 69 nt
Organism: Rattus norvegicus (Norway rat)
Lineage: Eukaryota; Metazoa; Chordata; Mammalia; Rodentia; Muridae
Source: Rfam
GGGGAUUUGGCUCAGUGGUAGAGCGCUUGCCUAGCAAGCGCAAGGCUCUGGGUUCGGUCCCCAGCUCCG